GAAACUGCGAAUGGCUCAUUAAAUCAGUUAUAGUUUAUUUGAUGGUACCUUUACUCGGAUAACCGUAGUAAUUCUAGAGCUAAUACGUGCGUAAAUCCCGACUUCUGGAAGGGACGUAUUUAUUAGAUAAAAGGCCAGCCGGGCUUGCCCGACUUUUGGCGAAUCAUGAUAACUUCACGAAUCGCACGGCCUCGUGCCGGCGAUGUUUCAUUCAAAUUUCUGCCCUAUCAAUUGUCGAUGGUAGGAUAGAGGCCUACCAUGAUGGUAACGGGUGACGGAGGAUUAGGGUUCGAUUCCGGAGAGGGAGCCUGAUAAACGGCUACCACAUCCAAGGAACGCACUAUGCGCUCAAAUUACCCAAUCCUGACA
This 369-nucleotide ribosomal RNA is filed under the name uncultured eukaryote. RNAcentral describes it as "SSU rRNA". It matches the Rfam family "Eukaryotic small subunit ribosomal RNA", at positions 83 to 456 of the family's 1831-position model. The record is from RNAcentral.